RNAcentral lists this ribosomal RNA (494 nucleotides) under uncultured bacterium. RNAcentral's name for it is "partial 16S ribosomal RNA". It matches the Rfam family "Bacterial small subunit ribosomal RNA", at positions 28 to 507 of the family's 1533-position model. The record is from RNAcentral.
GACGAACGCUGGCGGCGUGCUUAACACAUGCAAGUCGAACGGUGAAGCGCCUUCCUUUUUGGUGGGUGUGGAUGAGUGGCGAACGGGUGAGUAACACGUGAGUAACCUGCCCCCUUCUUCUGGAUAACCGCAUGAAAGUGUGGCUAAUACGGGAUAUUCUGGGUCUGUCGCAUGAUGGGUCUGGGAAAGAUAUUGUUUCGGUGGGGGAUGGGCUCGCGACCUAUCAGCUUGUUGGUGGGGUGAUGGCCUACCAAGGCGGUGACGGGUAGCCGGCCUGAGAGGGUGGACGGUCACACUGGGACUGAGACACGGCCCAGACUCCUACGGGAGGCAGCAGUGGGGAAUAUUGCACAAUGGGCGCAAGCCUGAUGCAGCGACGCCGCGUGAGGGAUGGAGGCCUUCGGGUUGUGAACCUCUUUCGCCAGUGAAGCAGGCCUGCCUCGUUUGUGGGUGGGUUGACGGUAGCUGGAGAAGAAGCGCCGGCUAACUACGUG